ACGGUUUCCAUAUGAUCACCGAAAUUAAGCAAUGUCGAGACUGGUCAGUACUUCGGUGGGUAACCGCUUAGGAAUAGUAGGUGUUGUAAG
Acanthosepion pharaonis is the source of this 90-nucleotide non-coding RNA. Lineage: Eukaryota; Metazoa; Mollusca; Cephalopoda; Sepiida; Sepiidae. The record is from the annotation of a GenBank genome assembly.